UGACGCAUUUACGGACUUGAAGAGGAUAACGAAAUCCCACAUUCCCGCGAAAAAUGUUCCAAACCGUAUUGAUGUCCCUAUUGGACAAUCAUCUAGUGUCAUAACCAAUGAGUCGAAUGCAUGCCUGAAGCGUGCAGACCAUUAGGUUCCAAAGAUCGAAUUCCUAGAAAGAGGAAAAAGAACGAUCAAAAUGACACCACGAAAGAAUCUCAUGAUUUAACAAA
RNAcentral lists this long non-coding RNA (224 nucleotides) under Nicotiana benthamiana. RNAcentral describes it as "long non-coding RNA (NBEN_LNC000719)". Lineage: Eukaryota; Viridiplantae; Streptophyta; Magnoliopsida; Solanales; Solanaceae. The record is from RNAcentral.